RNAcentral lists this long non-coding RNA (384 nucleotides) under Musa acuminata (dwarf banana). RNAcentral describes it as "long non-coding RNA (MACU_LNC001270)". The record is from RNAcentral. Lineage: Eukaryota; Viridiplantae; Streptophyta; Magnoliopsida; Zingiberales; Musaceae.
CCGUUUCUCGUUUCCCGCUGUCCAAGAUCGUUUCGCGAUGGGAAGAGCCAACCUCCACACUUGCAAUUGGUUGAUCGCCUCCGAGAAGUGAAACGGCUGCUCGCGUUGCUCUCCAAAUCCCGUCGAAAUGGCGGCUCUCGCGGCCUCUAUUGGCCUUCGUCCUAAGCCUCCGAGCUCUCUCAAGUCUUUUCCUUAUACACUUUUUCGUAGGAUUCAGUGCUCCAUCGAGGAUCUCAAGGGCCAGAGAGUUGCGGUCAGUCUUCCUCACUCUCCUCCUCCUCCUCCGGAAAUAUCUUGUUCUUGUAGUUUCUGUCGAUCUUUUCCCUUAGAGGUGACAACAAAUCCAAGAAUAGAAAAUCUUUGUACUGAUCAACAGAUGUUGGA